UGCCAGCCGCCGCGGUAAUACGGAGGGUGCAAGCGUUAUCCGGAAUCACUGGGUUUAAAGGGUGCGUAGGCGGCAUGAUAAGUCAGGGGUGAAAGCCCACAGCUCAACUGUGGAAUUGCCUUUGAUACUGUCAAGCUUGAAUUAGGUUGAGGUUGGCGGAAUGUGACAUGUAGCGGUGAAAUGCAUAGAUAUGUCAUAGAACACCAAUUGCGAAGGCAGCUGGCUAGACCUUAAUUGACGCUGAGGCACGAAAGCGUGGGGAGCGAACAGGAUUAGAUA
Molecule: ribosomal RNA, 279 nt
Filed under: uncultured bacterium
Lineage: Bacteria
Description: partial 16S ribosomal RNA
Rfam family: Bacterial small subunit ribosomal RNA
Source: RNAcentral